UCAAUUACUAUUCGUCUCGUACUUUCCGAUGGUCUAGGUCGAAAAAUCUUACAGCCCAGGUGUUAAAAACUGAAAAACCUCAUGAUAAUUGGUAUACUUUCAAUAUUAUCAAAAUUUUUGGACCUUAUGGUCAAAAUGAUAUUGGACUACUUCAUCAGAUGAUCAAUUAAAAA
RNAcentral lists this long non-coding RNA (173 nucleotides) under Polistes fuscatus (common paper wasp). RNAcentral describes it as "uncharacterized LOC122516668, transcript variant X2". Lineage: Eukaryota; Metazoa; Arthropoda; Insecta; Hymenoptera; Vespidae. The record is from RNAcentral.